AACAGGACUGGAUGGAAAUGAGAGAGAGAGAGAGAGGGACAGUUGAUCGUUUCUAGAUUAAUAUCAAAAGACUCCCGACACACGUUUUGAAUCCGCCAUGAAAAUACUACGUAAAGACAUUCGAAGCUAAUAGCGCCCAAUUAAGAGCAUGUAGCCAGCAAUCGACCAAUGAGCGGCUCGCUUACAAAAUGGACACGUCGGUCUUACUAGCAGCAGCAGCUCCUCACAUCAGAGUUACAUACUGUGAGUACAACCCUCCUUUGCAGCAUGGUCUUUUCACACUCGACGAGAGGCAACCACCACCACUACCAUCAUCAUUAUUAUCAUCAUCUUAUUCAGUUUCAUCAUCUCCGCCACCUUCGGCAACAGCAACAAUAGAGAGAAAGGAGAGGACAACGACGACGACGGAUGAUGAUGCGGCGGCCAACAACACAACUUUUCAUCAUCCAUCUUUCACCCCACCACAAA
This is a long non-coding RNA of Octopus sinensis (East Asian common octopus), 468 nucleotides long. RefSeq lists it as uncharacterized. The transcript is spliced from 2 exons. The record is from RefSeq and is a predicted model, not a curated record. Lineage: Eukaryota; Metazoa; Mollusca; Cephalopoda; Octopoda; Octopodidae.